GCCUGCCUUGCCACCCCUCAGUUUUUUUGGGGGAAGGAAGUAAUUUGGGAUAUUAUUAUUUGGGGUUAACUCUUGGGUAUUUUUGUGGUGCCUCUGGAGGCAUGUACCUAUAAUUGUGCAAACUUGGUGGUAAUGAAACAAUGUUUGAUAAAUGUCUGAAUUCUGUAGUUUGUAUGCAUUUUGGGAAUAUUUUUUUAGUAAACAAAUUGUACCCUAAAAUGCCUUUAGUGAAUCCCCGAACUUCAAAUUUCAAAUACAGUCCUGAGAUUUUCCCCAAAUUUUGCACAUUUAAUCCUAACAAGAGAGUUCAAGAGACAUAGUUACUAGCCAGAGAUCAGAUGACCUGAUGGAUUAAAUCAGACUAAGUAGCUGUGCAGUGGUAAAAUGUUAAUGCAUUCCUUUUAAAUUGAUAAAUUAAAAAAAAAAGUUUGUUACUCACUUACAAGUCAGCAGAGACAGCCGACUUAGGAGAGCAGCAUGUAUUUUUAAUAUAUUCUGGAAAAACUAAGGAAAUAAAUUAACAAAUCAACCAAAAAUUUAAGUGAGUAAAUUUUUCAGUUGAUUGCAGGCUCUUUCUUAAAAUACUACUCCCAGC
Non-coding RNA from Pelobates cultripes (western spadefoot toad), 595 nucleotides. The record is from the annotation of a GenBank genome assembly. Lineage: Eukaryota; Metazoa; Chordata; Amphibia; Anura; Pelobatidae.